GUAGGUGGCAAGCGUUGUCCGGAAUUAUUGGGCGUAAAGCGCGCGCAGGCGGUUCUUUAAGUCUGAUGUGAAAGCCCACGGCUCAACCGUGGAGGGUCAUUGGAAACUGGAGAACUUGAGUACAGAAGAGGAAAGCGGAAUUCCACGUGUAGCGGUGAAAUGCGUAGAGAUGUGGAGGAACACCAGUGGCGAAGGCGGCUUUCUGGUCUGUAACUGACGCUGAGGCGCGAAAGCGUGGGGAGCAAACAGGAUUAGACGCCUGGUAGUCCACGCCGUAAACGAUGAGUGCUAAGUGUUAGGGGGUUUCCGCCCCCCUUAGUGCUGCAGCCAACGCAUUAAGCACUCCGCCUGGGAGUACGGCCGCAAGGCUG
Molecule: ribosomal RNA, 371 nt
Filed under: uncultured organism
Description: partial 16S ribosomal RNA
Rfam family: Bacterial small subunit ribosomal RNA
Source: RNAcentral